UAUGUUUUAAGAACAUAAACUUUUCAUAGCAUUAAAAAAAAAAAAGGGUUUCAAUUCUCCUCGUUGUCUCCGUCUUCGACCCUUUCUCUCUACCUCCAUCGAGCUCAAAGCUCUGUCCACCAUCUCCCACUCGUUUCACCGUGAAACCCUUCCUCUCCACCAUCUCCGACUCCAUCGUCUUCAAUCCCUUCCUCUCCACAUCCUCUCUCCACCAUCUCCGACUCGAUCCCUUUCUCUCCACAUCAUCUCUCUCCACCAUCUCCGCCUCGUUUUCUCAAUCUUCCCUUCCUGUCCACAUCCUCUCUCCACCAUCUCCGACUCCGUCGCUCACCAAACCUUCCUCUCCACAACCUCUCUCCACCAUCUCCGCCUCGAUCUCUCAUCGCUCACCAACCCUCCCUCUCCACAACAUCUCUUCACCAUCUCCGACUUGAUUUCUCAUCCUAAUUUAAGAGUGAGGUUCAAUCGAUUGAUUCAAGUUCGUGUCUUCACAAGCUUGCAUCUUCUAUAUUCUCUCGAGGUUAGACACAUCGAUCACUUAUUCUCAUUUUCUAAUUGUUUUGUAAACUUUUGUGGACAUUGAUCUUGUUGUUUGCGGUUUACACGUUGAAGCAAAAUUUAUAUUCUUGUUGUUGCUUGAACCAUGUACACUUGUUUGAACUGUGGCAAGGGUCUUAAUAUUAAUGUUGGACAAGUCGUGGAUGCAUUUAAGUAGAGUUGAUCUUGCAUACGAGAAAGCUGCCCGAGGUUUUGUCAAUGGUGUUACUGAUAAAUUAGGAGUUAAUGGGAAGAUUGUAUGUCGUAAUCUGUAUCGCCAUUCAAGUGAGGAGGUUGUCUCUCAUUUGGUUAUACAUGGAAUGGAUGAUGCUUACAAGGUACGGUCGGAUUGGUUUCACCGUAUGCUCUCGCCUCACAUUCUAGGUGAGGAGCACUACAACACUGCUCGUGGUGUGCAGAAAGUUCUGCAGAACUACAACAAGAACGUUAUCUUGUUCAUUGAUUCACUGUCUUGUGUCUUAAGAAGGCCUGUGUCUUCUUGUUAACAGAGGAGAUGGCGAGGAUGAAACAGGCUCAAUGGCUUGGGUUAAAGAUGAAGUCGCUAGACUUGAGAAUUGUUUUGGUUUAUGUGUAUUUGGAUGAUAUAUGAAAUAAUGUAUAUUUUAUAAAUUUAAUGAAUAUAAAAUUUUAUUUAUAGAUCCA
This is a long non-coding RNA of Raphanus sativus (radish), 1200 nucleotides long. RefSeq lists it as uncharacterized. NCBI's taxonomy places the organism in Eukaryota, Viridiplantae, Streptophyta, Magnoliopsida, Brassicales, Brassicaceae. The record is from RefSeq and is a predicted model, not a curated record. The transcript has 3 exons.